RNAcentral lists this long non-coding RNA (2240 nucleotides) under Hordeum vulgare. RNAcentral describes it as "long non-coding RNA (HVUL_LNC003762)". Lineage: Eukaryota; Viridiplantae; Streptophyta; Magnoliopsida; Poales; Poaceae. The record is from RNAcentral.
GAAAAGCCAGAAAGGAAAAAAAGAAAAGAGAAAUAUUUAUGUAUUUUUUGAAACAUAAAAAGGCAAAGAGCACAUGGACACACAAAAGAAAUAUUUUCUGAAAAAAAUAGUUUUCUCAAAGUAGGCAAAUAGGAACGCAAAAAGAAGCCAAGAUAAAAGAUUUCCAAAGUCACUAUUAAAGGAAAUCAAAUAACCUCCAAAGAAAAAGCAAAAGGAAAGAAGAAUAUUUUUCUUGUUUUCCCAAGAAAUUCAAAAGGACAUAAGGACAAAGAAAUACUUUUUUUAAGAAACAAUAGGAAGCAAAAAAAAAAACACUUCAAACCUUUUGUUGGCAACGCACCGCCUCCAGCUCAACCUACUUAUGGCUUCUAGGCUCGCCCAUUUCCGCCUAUUCAUCACUAUGGGUAUUCUGGUGUUGCUCUUCUCAGUACGACUUACCGUGAAGUCAUGUUCAUCCGGAACGACGACAUGCGAUGGCAGAGGAUAGGGUUGCUCUUUAACGUAUCGGCACGUGGGGUCUCAUUACACUUCCUCCCCAUGCUCAUCCCAUCACUUGUAUCUUUUAAGUGGGUCUAGAAGAUUUAGACUUUGAUGGUUCUCUUGUGUUACAAAGCUAGUCUUGUGACAUGUGGCUUUCAACAGAAACAUGGCUAUGACUACGAUGAGACAUUUGCUCAUAUGGCCACAUGACCAUCCUUCCGACACUUCUUGCAAUGAUAUUUGUUCACUACUCGUUCGUCUCUCACCUUGAUGUCAAGAAUGUAUUUCUUAACGAUGAGUUGCAUGAGGAAGUCUACAUGUAGCCACCACCUAGAUAUUGUUUCCCUGGUGGCAUGAUCUACCGUCUUCAUCGCCUCUAUAUGCCUUUAGUUCCUCGUGUACAGUUUGAGUGUUUUUUCUCAAUGAUGAUUGCAAGUAGUUUUUUGCCAAAUGAUCAUGAUAUGCCCUUUCUAUCCAUCUUUCAGUUCGUGGUCGAACUUCGCUACUAUAUGUCGAUGACAUGAUCAUCAUUGCCAAGUGUAGUGCCAUUUUGAAGUUUUUAUGUCUGAUAUUGGUCCUCUUGGCUACCUCCUUGGAAUUGAGGUUUCUUCUAUUUCUGAUGGCUUCUUUAUUUCUCAAGAGAAGUAUAUUCAGAAUCUUCUCGCUCGUGCUGCUCUUAGUGACAGGGUCAUUGUUGACACUCCCAUGGAGCUCAACGUCCACCUUUGUGCUUCCGAAAGUGAGCCUUUUUUUGAUCUGACGCACUAUCGUCAUCUUGUUAGGAGUCUUGUCAGAUGUCACUCGUCCAGACAUUUCAUAUCACGUUGUCAUUCCAAGUCGGUUUGUUUCUGCUCCCACUUGAGUCACCUUCCCCGUGUUCUAUGCUAAUUUUGUGGAAAUAUCUCACCGUCUCUCCUCUUCCAAUGCUAGAGUUCGCUCGUCCCUUUCUACUUAUUGUGUUUUUCUUGAUGGUUUACCCAUUGCCCGCAAGAGAAAGAAACAAAUUGCACUUUUCCCUUUGAGUGCAAAGGUUGAGUUGCAAGCUAUGACUCUGUUCACAACAGAGGUGACUUGGUUACAAUGGUUGCUUUAAUAUGUGCCUUCCAAUUUACAUUUAUGAUUGGCCGAUUUCUACACAGACUCAAACAGAGCACAACACGGCCUCUCUCUCUCUCUCUCCAAAGUCAGUGUUUUUGAUCCACCAUGACCUUGAGGAAUUUAGUGUUUCUAUCACCACAUUACUCCUCAUGUCAUACCAUAUUGUAGAUGAGCUAUCAGGAUUGCGCCCAACCAUGUGAAGCAUGAGCUCACCAAGCAUAUUAAUAUCGAUGCCUCCUUCGUGCGUGUAGAAUCAGAUUAUUACUCUUCAGUAUGUGCCUUUCGAUUUACACUUGGUCAGUUUCUUCACGAAGGCUUAGACAUAAGCACAAGACAGCUUUUACCUCUCCAAAUCCACCAACAAUUGGCUGAUUUCUACACNUUCAAAAGGACAUAAGGACAAAGAAAUACUUUUUUUAAGAAACAAUAGGAAGCAAAAAAAAAACACUUCAAACCUUUUGUUGGCAACGCACCGCCUCCAGCUCAACCUACUUAUGGCUUCUAGGCUCGCCCAUUUCCGCCUAUUCAUCACUAUGGGUAUUCUGGUGUUGCUCUUCUCAGUACGACUUACCGUGAAGUCAUGUUCAUCCGGAACGACGACAUGCGAUGGCAGAGGAUAGGGUUGCUCUUUAACGUAUCGGCACGUGGGGUCUCAUUACACU